GAUGAACGCUGGCGGCGUGCCUAAUACAUGCAAGUCGAGCGAACAGAUAAGGAGCUUGCUCCUUUGACGUUAGCGGCGGACGGGUGAGUAACACGUGGGUAACCUACCUAUAAGACUGGAAUAACUCCGUGAAACCGGGGCUAAUACCGGAUAACAUUUAGAACCUCAUUGUUCUAAAGUGAAAGAUGGUUGUGCUAUCGCUUAUAGAUGGACCCGCGCCGUAUUAGCUAGUUGGGAAGGUAACGGCUUACCAAGGCAACGAUACGUAGCCGACCUGAGAGGGGGAUCGGCCACACUGGAACGGGACCACGGUCCAGACUCCUACGGGAGGCAGCAGUAGGGAAUCUUACGCAAUGGGCGAAAGCCUGACGGAGCAACGCCGCGUGAGUGAUGAAGGUCUUCGGAUCGUAAAACUCUGUUCUUAGGGAAGAAAAAAUGUGUAAGUAACUGUGCACGUCUUGACGGUACCUAAUCAGAAAGCCACGGCUAACUACGUG
This 497-nucleotide ribosomal RNA is filed under the name uncultured bacterium. RNAcentral describes it as "partial 16S ribosomal RNA". It matches the Rfam family "Bacterial small subunit ribosomal RNA", at positions 28 to 507 of the family's 1533-position model. The record is from RNAcentral.